AAAGUAGCCCACCCAGGAUGGUUCAUUGAAUUAGUUGUUUUGCCUUACAUCUAACAAAAACAUUUCAUAUAGCCAAAGGCAUAACAAUAUCAUAAUGUAGAUAUUUCCCCCACGAUACUACCAUAGCUUAGCAUUCAACUACAAUCGAUGGCAAUUUGGUAGCAAUGUAAUGACGAGGGUAAACUAUACUACCUGGGAUUUAUAGCUAGCAUAGAGGUACGAGUAAUAGUCCUAUCAAUGCAUCUCUACCAACAACACUAAUGCAUAAGUAUUUUAAAACCACAAUAAUAAUGGGAUAUGAUCAAAGUGAACUUGCCUUGUCCAAGGUUGUGAUAGUUCUCGCACUCUUCGCAACAACAAGGAAUACACUCCACACAAUCUAAAAAUAAAAGAAACAUGCACACAAUAAACACAACAUCCAAUGCAAAAAAUCAUGCCAUGAUGCAUAUGCUAUGAUGACGCACACAAAGGUUACUUCUAAAGUACAAAGUUUCAUUUCUGUUUUGAAAAGUUUUUCAAAAGAUUUGGAUAGAUUAUACAACAUCAAGUGGUAAUUAAUAUGCAUGAUACAUGGAUAGGGUUUAAAACAAAAGAUUGUGCGGCUUUUGCAACAUAGAGCAAUAUUUAACUUGCAUGCCAUGAUUGUACACAAAAUAAUUUCUUUUCUGGUCCUAAUGGACAGAGAACAAGUUUAAAUAAUUUUACGGCAAGAUAACAUGUUCAAAACUAUUUUGAAACAAUUCAUUCAAAAUUUAAACCAUAAUCAACCAUUCUGUAAAUAGCUACUGUCUAAGUUGUUCAAAACUGAAAUUAGACAGUGCCAAAAUAUUCUACAAGUUGUGACGAUUCCAGAAAGGUGCGGAACACAAUUUUUGGACAAACGGUUUGAAAGAUAUGAUGCUUUGAAGUUAUAGGGCCUUUUCUGUAAAAAAGCAUUAUCUACUACGGCCGAAAAUAAAAUAAAAUAAAAUAAAAAGGGCACUGCCACGUGGCAUGGCGGGAUUGGCCCG
This 1010-nucleotide long non-coding RNA is filed under the name Brachypodium distachyon (stiff brome). RNAcentral's name for it is "long non-coding RNA (BDIS_LNC003558)". Lineage: Eukaryota; Viridiplantae; Streptophyta; Magnoliopsida; Poales; Poaceae. The record is from RNAcentral.